RNA transcript from Hyla sarda, 3531 nucleotides. It is a transcript of the gene named WD repeat domain 93, with no coding region annotated. Lineage: Eukaryota; Metazoa; Chordata; Amphibia; Anura; Hylidae. The transcript has 17 exons. The record is from RefSeq and is a predicted model, not a curated record.
UGUUUAGGGUUACUAUGGUGACGAGUAACAAAGUGCUGGUGCUGGGAGCCCUGACUGACCGAAGUUCGGAGGGUGAAGUACUGGUGUAUCUAGGGCACAGGGCUUGCACCAUGCCAGUGUACAUAAGAAAAGGACCUUUAGAAAUACCUCCAGGAUCUGAGAAAGACUGGGCCAAUGAAGAACAAGAGGAAGAUUAUUUUCUGAAGGAUCCAGACCAGUCACGAGACUGUCUACCACAGCCAUACAAGAUGAUUGCCAAAGUAGUGGAGCUUCUCAUUGACCAGACAGUGCAAGUGAUCAACAUACGGGAGCAAAAACGAGAAGCAGAGAAACUCACAGCAAAAAUCCGUGUCCUGCAGCCAACUACUGAAAUCCAUGUGUCCAAAAGAGUUCACAGUAUGGCUGUUGGGGGCUCAUAUUUAUUUGUGGGUCUUUCGGAGGGACUGGCAGUGUACAGCUUAACUGAUCAGGACUGGAUUUGUGGUUGGGAUGCUAGUAAAGUAGAAGUCUGUAACCUCAACGUGUGCCAGGUGCAAAACCAAGUCUACUUCCUCAGCACAGUGGAUGAUAUGGGUAUUGCCCGCCUCUUUUGCUUCUCUGAUGAAAACCUCAGUUUUAUGAAAUCCUUUAAUGAGCCGGAAGAUAUAAGUAAGAGGACCAACUGCAUAGUCUUUCACCUGUCUCAAGGAGGGGAUUAUGCUGGCAUUCUUUUAGAAGGUGUGGGAGAUACUUGUCUGGAAGUAUUUAAGUUGCCCAAGGAUAUCUGGUUAAAGGAAUUGGAAUCUUCUCAAACAGCAUUGCUGGCACCAAAUACAUCACCAUCAGACUCCCAGUCAGCUAGUACGCCUGUUAUCACCGACCCAAAGAUCACACAACCAGUACUUGUAAUGAAGAUUAGGCCACCUAAACCACUUACAGGAAGUUUCUUUAGAAGUGUACAGGAGGCUGUGCAGAAGAAUGAAGACAGCAAUGUGCUUGGCACCGGGCAGAAUCACUUGCACACUUCUCAUCAGUGGGAUCAACAAGAUUCAGUAUUUAUGCGAGUGUAUGAAAAGUAUCUGAGCUUAGAUUUACCAAGCACAGAAGAAGUAAGGAUGUCAAGGUACACUAAGUUUCAUUUUGUCCAGCAUAAUAAAAUGAUGCAUAGAGAUUCGGAGCCGAUGAAUGCAGCUAUACCUAAUGCCAUAAUUGUGCAUUGGGAUUCAUGCCAAAAUCAUCUCAUGUACCUCCUGGGCAAACAGACAAAGGACAAAACAGAUGGUGAUAUAAAACCUGAUGUAGUGUGGCCAUGUGCAGCUCCUAUAAGAAUCUCAGCAGUCAGUUCUUGCUCCGCAUACUUUGCUUUUGGCCUUGAAGAUGAAACACUUUCACUUUGGGAUAUGAAGUAUUCUGGAUUUCCAAUGGGUGUUGUUGUCCUGCCAGAGGGAAAAUCCAUUGAUAAUAUUCAUUUCUUGGAGCAUGUCACUUCUAAUGGAGAUCCUCCAGCUGUACCCAGAGCCCAGGUGCUGGUGUGGUGUACUGAUAAGUCUCUCUACCUUGUGACUGUGGCAGGGGGAAAGGAGUCCAGCCUUGUUCUUCUCCAUGACAGUGCCGGCUCUUCUGAUGAACGGAUAAGUGCAGUGGCCCCAGUCCCCUCACUUCCUAAUAGUGUGCUUAUAUUUUACCGCAGCGGAAUGGUAAAGCUUAUGGACGUUGGUGAACGACAACUGAUUUGCCAGUUUGGUCUCCCUUUUCCCUAUAAAGUAGCUUUUCCCUGGCAACCAGUGUAUGUUCUUGAUGCAGUAAACCACUGUCUUUUUCUUAAAGCAAAUGAGAACAGGGUUUCUGGAGAGAUUUUGACCCAUGAAAAUUCAUCUUGCGCUCUACUUGCAUUCAGUCUGGACAGUUUGGAUUCUGUGGUAAAACAACCAGCCGCCCUCCCCUUACAAAGUUUACACUGGGAAGAUAGAUGCAAGUCAUUGUUUCAGAUGAGGUUACAAACUUUUUCAGAAAGGAAAAAGCAGAUAGCAGAAUCAUGGUCAUGUCUCAGAAAACAAGCCACCGAUUUUACACUGAGCAACACCCUCAGCAGGUGAUGGAAGAACAAACACUCACAAAGCUACUUUAUUAAAAACUCAUUUAUUUUUUUAAAUUACUCACAAAGAAAAGCACCAGGAUGAUAUUGGACUGUUGGAUUUUCCGCCUAAAAAUAGUGUUUUAGACCUUUUUACAGGACAUGGGUAGGAAUUCUGUACUCCAAUAUAUUACUCUUCACAGUCUUUACAUGCAGUGCUAUAUAUCGGUGAAUUAUGCUUACCAUACUGAUUUGUAAUUGUCAGUAACAUUAUUGUCUUAUUGCUAGGGGUCUAAUACCUGUAUCAACCCCACAAUUCAAAAAAUUGCCUUGGUCUGUCUUCUUGUUUCCUGCAAGAUUUUUCUUCAUAUACUCGUUUACUGUCCAUUAAAACUUGUAGAGUAUACAGAAACAACACAGAGUACUUAUAUGUCAUAAUUUUAAUAUUUUAAAUGCAGCAUGUUUAGUUAAGUACCUUCAUGUAGACAAUCUUUAUAGGUGCAGACCCAUGAAUAUGAUACAGACAGGUAACCGAAUAGCAGUACUAUAAAGGCUUUCUCCAUACACAUUAGAGAUAUGUUGGCGAAUGUAUUGAGUAUCUAAUGUGCAUGGAUUUCAAACGCCCAAUCCCUUUGUUCUUGGAAAAAUAAGCGACUGCCAGAAGAGUCCCCAUUAAGAAUACAUGAACACUUAUCCAAGCUAAGAAUUCAUGUAUAUGGGUGAAUCAGGAGAGAUAGCUGUUAGUUGAAUGAGUGUUCCACCAUCAGCUAUCGUAUCUGUAUGACUACUUAAAAACUUUGGGGGAGAUUUAUUAAGGGACUUAGAGAUCUUUUUUUGCUUAAAAAAGUCGCAUCUGCACCUAAGCAAUUUUUUUGUGCGACUUUUGGCUGUAAGCAAAAUCUACAAAAGAGCUUGCCAAAGCAAAUUUCAGUUUUCACUUUGCAGUGGUCAGGGAUUGAUCAAGUGCGACAGUCGCACAAAAGUCGCAACCGCCUCCGAAACCACAGCUCCUGUGGGAAAUAUGAAAUCACAUCACCCGCUCUCCUCCUGUGUGUCAUGUCCCCCCCCCACCACCGCCUAUCUUUGCCUCACCGCUGCUCGCAGCAGCCCCCACUCCACAUCUCCCAUCCGGCGGCUAGCCGUUACGGGACUACAACUCCCAGCAUGCCCUAACAGUGAGGACAUGCUGGGAGUUGUAGUUGCAACAGCUGGUAGUUGUGGGCGGGUAGCCAGGGAGCGGAGCUGGCCGGCUGCAAGGAAUAUGAAACUACACUGUAACUUCAUAUUUCCUGGCCUGAGCUGUAAUUGGCUGAACCCCCCUGCCUAUUGCCAACAUCCCCCCCUGCUUAUUGCCAACAUCCCCCCCCCCGCCAAUUGCCAACACCCCAACCCCGGCCGCUCUCCUCCCGUGUGUGUAACGUCCCCCUCACCGCUGCCUAUCUUUGCCUCGCCAAUGCUUGCAGCAGCCCCCACUCCAG